This 3030-nucleotide long non-coding RNA is filed under the name Marmota monax (woodchuck). The record is from RNAcentral. Lineage: Eukaryota; Metazoa; Chordata; Mammalia; Rodentia; Sciuridae.
CCCAGCCCCAGAGCUCCCAUUUCUUAAUUAUGGAAUCAUACAGAUCAGUCUUCAGGACUGGACUCUAUCACUCAGUUACUGCUUAAACUUCAGCAAGUGUUGUAUCCUCUUAGAACCUCUGCUUCUUAAUUUACCCCAUAGGGAUAACAAGUUCGAAUUCCCAGGGUGGUAGGGAUAAUGCCAUGAGGUCAUGCUUGUAAAGCAAUUUAGUGUGAUGCUUGGCAUCUAACAGUCUAUCAGUAAUGCUGUUGUUCCUGUCGUUAAUGUUAUUAGGAUGGAUGGUAUUGCCAGUGUUGAGAGUACUAAAGGCCAAGUGCCAUGACAAGAAAUCAGGAUACAAGGGUGAGUAUGUCUAUGCAGGCAAUUCAUGCAGGUAAAGCACAGCAGCGGGCAACAGGAGACAGAUUCAGGCAGCACAGUUGCACCUGUUUCUGCUUUUGCUCAUUCUCUGCCUCCAGUCACUUGUGUGACUGCAGACCUUACCUACCAGGCCAAAACCAGAGAUCACAUUUACGUGUGAGAUCAUGUCUACCUCUCCAACAACUCUCCUCCACCAAAAUUUAACUCAGCUGGCAUUCUCACAGAUGUUCUGAUGGAUAGCACUGGCUGAACAGGUUGCUCCCUCCAAAGCACAUGUUUCAACCGUGGAGCUGACCCAUGUAAGGAUUUCCAAUAAGUUGUUUAGCUCACAGAGACCCUGAGAGCUAAUAUAGUGAUCGUUUCCUUUGUGUGGCCAUCCCAACUAGAAAGACAAAAGUCUCAACUCCAACAGAGACACUCCCAUGGCAAAUCCAGAGGGUUUAUUUUCAUUUCAGCCCAACCAUCACUUCUGUCCCUGAGAACCUUCACUUGACCAGCAGAUUAAAUUAUAACUAUUAAAGAACUCAAUACAUUUGGGGCUUUCCUGUUUGUUUAAAAUGAAAUGUGUAAAAUGGGAAGGAUAGUAAUACUUAUCACAGGAAAUUCUACAAGAGUAAAGUCUAGGUAUUCUAAGGAUGGCUUGAAGCUGCCUAUAGGAAAUUAGCUGUUUAAAUUAAAACAUAUGAUUAUACUUCUGAUGAAGAUGAAUGCUUGGUACACAUUUAUGUACCCGUUUGAGGCAAUUGCAAACACGACCUCCAAGAGACACAAAAAGAUUCUUAAUAGCAUGUCCACUCUGUGAAAGAAUAUGGAUCAGUAAAGAGGAAUUGGAUCAGUUACAUCCAAACCAUCUAUAACCAAUAACAUAUAUAAGCAAUGCUUCAACCAGCAACAUGCUGGUAAAAGUGUAACAAUCAGGGCUUUGGGGGUAAGGCAAAGUGAAGCUCUUUUCUGUAGCUUUUACCCAUUUCUGUAAUAUGAAUAUACCCACCAGGACUGAAGCCACUGAUCAUUGAGUUAGGACCAGUUCUGUAUAAUUGGUGCAAAUGAUUCCAUCAAUGACUGAGGCUUCAAGCUCUGCCCUCUCUAAGCUAAGCAGCAUGGCAGAAUGAAAAUACCUUGGACCAGCAGCUGGAAAGCAUAGCUGACGUCUCAGUUUAGAUAGCUGUGAACCCACUUGGGACACUUAUUCUAGCAAACUAAAUUUUGCAUCUAAAAUCUCUACAAUCUCUGUGAGAUUGCAAUGAAAUGAAAAUACUUCAUUAAGGUAAUUUAAACUCUAAAGCUCUAUACUAAGCUUUAGCUCUCAUUACUAAGGCUUUUUAAAUACCUGGAUCUAUUUUAAUUAGGGUGCUUAGAAAUCUAUGACUUCUGUCUGACACCUUAGACAGAAGGUGUUCAUUGGGUAUCCAGAGCCAUGAUCUAGCCUACUCUAUACUAUCAUUUUGUUCACUAAUAAAAUCUAAUAUGACUCAUUAAUAAGUCAGGAACCUCAUAACAGCAUUCAUGUCAAUGUUUGACUGCUACAAUCCUAUAGUCCUAUCAAUUCACAAUGGAGCAGAAAAAUUCUUUUGCCCAGUAUUUUUACUAUGCCUAUUCUAUGUUUACUUAUGUUUAGAUACACAAACAUUAACCUUUGUGUUACAAUACUUGUGUUACAAUAUUCAGUAUGGUAAUGGGCCAUGCAUAUGUGUAACCUAGGAGUAAUGGGCUAUGCCACACAACCUAGGUGUAUGGUAGGCUAUCAUGUGUGUGUAAGUACACUUUAAGAUGUUCACACAAUGACUUAAUCACCUACCAAUGCAUAUCUCAGAAUUUACUCCUGCCAUUAAGUGACAUAUAAUAGCAAAUUCUCAAUGGAUCUAGAGUUACUCUAAGAAUGGAGAGCCUCAUGAGAAAUGCAGCUAGUGUUAUCUCUAAACCUAUCUGAUCAUGGAGCAGACAAGUAUGACCUUUCUUCUGGAAUUAAAUUUUGAGAAUUGCACAUUGUAUAAAAACGUUAAACUCAGGAUGGGGAUGUGGCUCAAGCAGUAAUGUACUCGUCUAGCAUGCACAGGGCGCUGGGUUCGAUCCUCAGCACCACAUAAAAAUAAAAUAAAUAUGUUGUGUCCACUGAAAACUAAAAAAUAAAUAUUAAAAAAUUCUCUCUCUCUCUCUUUUAAAAAAAAAACAGAAAAACAAAAAAACAUUGAACUCCAGGUUCCAUUAAUUUAGUUCUAUUAAGACCUUCAAAAUAUCUAGACAUUGAGCUAGAUUUCUAGUUAUGAGCACUUGUUCAGCUUCUCUAACCCUAAAUUUGUCUAUAUGGAAAAUAAACUAAUAUCCUUGCCAUAGUCAUUUUACAAGAAAUAAAUCUGUUUUUUGUGAAUGAGAAGCAUUUAGCUUCUCUUCCACUCAGAGAUAACUCAUUAUAGAUUGACAUUAAUUUGCUUUAUGGGAAUAUAUCUGAAAAUGUUGAAAUCCCAACAGGUACCUAUGAAACACAAUCACUAUAGAAAGGUAAGUGGCAUUAAUAAAUGAAAGCAUAUCAGAGAUUUUAUUUUUCAUUUUUUGGUGCUGGGGAUUGAAACCAGAGCUUCAUGUGUGCUUUGCACACAAUCUACUACUGAGAUAUACUCCCAACCCCAAGAUUUUUAUUUUUGAAAAAGAAAUUAUUUCUGUGGUUUGCAC